CCUCUUUGCAGCGCUCAAUGGUCAAACGAGGUGUUUGUGCACAGUGUCAACAGUAGGAACUCCUGAGGGAGGAAGAAGCACACGGACUCUUCUGCUUCAAACACUCAGGUUGUUUACUCCACAGAGCCAGUCUUCCCCGGAUCAGGCCCCCCACUUAGUGUAUUUGACAAGCUGAGUUUGACACUCUUGUUUCGCUGAGUGUCAGUUUGUCAAAUACCCCAAGUGAGGUGUCACUUUUCUCCAAAUGUGACCAGUCCUAGGACCCUCCACAGCGGGGGCUACCACACCAAGGAAACUGAAAACACCACGGAACCCUUUUCUUGUGAAAUUUGAGGAUCUGGAAAAGGAACGAGGUAAUAGGUUCUGACAGUGGGGACACGCAGAGUCACCGUAUCAUCUGUUUAACUAUUAGUUAUUUAGUAAAUAAUGCAAAUGACUCAUUGUUUUUAAUUGUAUCCCUUGAGAAUCCUAAAAGGUUCAGUUAAUGAAGCAAUGAAAGCUUCAUACAGAUGUUUGAGUAAAUUAAAGCCUAACCUUUAAACCCAAUUUAGUUUUUUCAUCCAUUUUAUUUCUAGGCUUUAAGCACAGUCGCUAGAAGUCUCAGUUGAACACGGCACGUAUUGUUAUUCUCAGGACAUGUAGGCUGCUUUUUAAUGCCAUCAUUUGUAUGUUUCUUAUGCAUUCUCAGAUUAUUUUCAUUUUAAAUUGCUCUGAAACAAUAUUCAUCGAGAGAGGUUAAAGUUGGGUUGUAACAAUGUUGCUAAAAACAAAUGAAAACAUUUUGGAUUUGAUAGUGAUCUGUGGUGAUGCAAACAUGGAACUAAAUGUCUUGUAUUAGUCACACACAUGUCUUGUGUUAGGAGGAAUCCAUGUACUAAAGCAGUGUUUUUCAAAGUGGGGGCUCCGACCCCCCGGGGGGCCGCCAGGGGGCACCAGGGGGGUCACGCAAAGUUUGAGGGAAAGAGGAAUUUUUUUUUUUAAAGUUACAUUUUUUUUUUUAAUUAAUAACUGCAUAUCUAUUAAUCUAUGUGUCCUUUGAUGCCAAUCUUUUAAUAUUUUUUACUUAUUUAUAUAUUAAAUCACACGACCGCCCUUCAAGCCAAUCAGAAUCGAGUUGCCACUACUGAGAGUGAAACUGAGUAUCUGCUCAGCUUUUGGAGCAAGCUAGUGAAUAUUUCGCUCUGCAGCUGGAUGAGAGCACGGAUGUAGCAAAUAUUGAUGUUUAUAUAUAUAUGAAUAUAAAUAUGGUUAUUGUUAAUAUUACUGUUGAAUAUUAUAUAUAAUACUAUUAAGGCAUAAGUAGCUUUAAAAAAUGCUAAAAAUAUAUGUUAAUUGUUCAUAUUACUGUUCAAAAUUAUAUAAUAUUAUAAAGACAGAAAUCACUUUAAAAACGCUUUAAAAAUAUGUUUACUGUUGAUAUUACUGUUUAAUAUUGUGUUAAGAAUGUUUAUAACAGAAGACACAAUGAAUGUAAUGAAUGACAAACAAAAGAUAAAUACAAAAAAUGUUUAGAAGAAUAACUGAUUAUUGCAAGAGGGAAGUCCCCGCCAGACGAUAAUGCUAUAUGGGGGUCCUUGGCAUGGCAACGUUUGGGAACUAAAGGAAUGACCAGCCUUAAAAAAUAUGAUUGCACAUCUGUAAAGACUUUCAGUCGUUUUCUCUUACGAAUCGUUGAAUGAGGAUACUUUUAUAUUUGAGGUAUUUGCCUAAUUUCUUUUUUGAUUUUGCUAAAUGUUUUGGUUCAGCCUUGAUGGAUCUUUCCCUGCCAACAUGUGAGAGCAACUGUCUUUUCAAUUUCACGGGGAGCAUGCAUAAGGGAAGAGAACAGCCAAAUGAAAUAUACAGUGACUCGUGUUUCUGCUGAAAAAUACUCAUCGGUAACUCAAAAAAGCCAGGUUUAAGUAUGUUGUUCCUUCAGCAAAUAAACUGUUUAUUAAAAUAAAUAAAAUUGUAUUUGAUGGCAAACAGGUUUUUCUCUGGAAAACGAGAGACUCAUCUCAAUUACACUGCCCAAUUAAAUAAAGAUUUAAUACAAUAAUAAAAAAAUAAUUCAAGGCUAUGUGAAUUGGUGAUUGUAAUGCAACACUUGUGUGUGCGUGUGUGUGUGUUAGUGUGUGUGCAUACUUGGGUGUGUGCGCCAGAGGGGUGGAAGUGGGAGACUGCAUUUUGUAUAUUAGUCUAAUAUAUGUAUAUACAAAUAUAUUAUUGAUCUUAAUUGCACAACCUCUGUUCCAAUAUUUGGUAUAUUGUUGUUUACCUUGAAUCUAAUGUUUAAUUUAUGUAUGAUCAGCCACAAUGCCACUACACUAAUAAAGAUGAAUGAGGUGCUAUCUUUAGGCCAAUCUGUGAUCUUUCAAGGGUUAUAACGUGUCCUAAAGCGUGCAGACAGAAGCUUAUCAUCCAAUCUUACAAUCUUCCGCUUUGCAUUUCCUGUUCCUGUGAGGCUGUUUUGUAGCCAUGGACUGUUUAUAGCUCCCAAUGAAGCUUGAUAGUCAUACAUGCUUUUAAAGGCAUAACAUCCCAUGACACAUACCACUAAUAUCGAUCACUGUGUUCAUGCCAACUAUUCAUUUUGCUUAGAUAGGCUGCUACUAGUGGUGCAAGUCAUGUGCACGAUGUUAUGGUUGCAGAAAUAAAAGCAUUCUUCCUCUGCUCUGC
Molecule: long non-coding RNA, 2658 nt
Organism: Gymnodraco acuticeps
Lineage: Eukaryota; Metazoa; Chordata; Actinopteri; Perciformes; Bathydraconidae
Exons: 2
Source: RefSeq, a predicted model, not a curated record